UCCCCAAUAGCUCAGCGGUAGAGCGGUCGGCUGUUAACCGAUUUUAGUCGUAGGUUCAAAUCCUACUUGGGGAG
Molecule: transfer RNA, 74 nt
Filed under: Gnetum montanum
Lineage: Eukaryota; Viridiplantae; Streptophyta; Gnetopsida; Gnetales; Gnetaceae
Also listed under: 5 other names
Description: tRNA-Asn
Rfam family: tRNA
About the family: Transfer RNA (tRNA) molecules are approximately 80 nucleotides in length.
Source: RNAcentral